CAGAUCGUAUCAUCACUGAAACGGGAAACAGAGUUGAUCUAUUUAUCAUUCUGAUUAUUGUCUGACAAAAUGUUGAACUAAUUAGGUGGUAAUUAUAUCAUCAAAAAACUAUUAACAUUUCCACAGCCACUAGUCAUUUAAAUAGUGCGUAGUACUAUCCUGUCGUGUAAUAGACAAGUUGGUGGAUUUCUGGACUCUAGUUUUAUACGGAUAUAACAACCGAUUCUCGCUAAAUAAAUAUGGUUGCCAGACUGCUAUUAUUGUUGUUAUUGGUGACUGUUGCUAUAGAUGUUGGAAUUUGCUAUGACGAUGAUCACCUGUUGGAACGAAGGGGUAGGUGUGUCAGUUCAUUCUGUAAGAAGAAUGGUCCACCAUGUUGUGGUAGAAGGCACUGUUAUUGUUUUGGAGGUAGAAGAUCCUGUAAAACUGGUGUAUGUAAAGCCAGGAGGAGUCAUUGAAGACAUUUUGCACAAGAAGUAAUUAAAUGUGGUGAUUCGUUAGAAUUGAUUGUAAUAAAUAUACUAGUAUAUCAAAU
Patella vulgata (common limpet) is the source of this 535-nucleotide long non-coding RNA. RefSeq lists it as uncharacterized. Lineage: Eukaryota; Metazoa; Mollusca; Gastropoda; Patellidae. The record is from RefSeq and is a predicted model, not a curated record. The transcript has 4 exons.